CACAGGUCUCAGAAUAUGGCAAAUUGUGCCCUAAAUGGUAUAAGGCUUCAUUGAUAGAGAAAUAGAGAAGAAAGGAUUGCUCCUCUCACAUGGACCACACCAAGUACUCUUCCUAGGAGAAUGAAACAUCACUUAGGAGACUAAAUUGAGACGGAUUGAGAAUUCACUUUAUUAGAAGAAACACCUUCAUUUUUC
Molecule: long non-coding RNA, 195 nt
Filed under: Felis catus (domestic cat)
Lineage: Eukaryota; Metazoa; Chordata; Mammalia; Carnivora; Felidae
Description: lncRNA (ENSFCAG00000049364.1)
Source: RNAcentral